This 403-nucleotide ribosomal RNA is filed under the name uncultured bacterium. RNAcentral's name for it is "partial 16S ribosomal RNA". It matches the Rfam family "Bacterial small subunit ribosomal RNA", at positions 28 to 526 of the family's 1533-position model. The record is from RNAcentral.
GACGAACGCUGGCGGCGUGCCUAAUACAUGCAAGUCGAACGCAGUGGGGACGGGUGAGUAACACGUGGGUAACCUCCCAUCAGAGGGGAUAACACUUGGAAACAGGUGCUAAACCGAUACUGAUGGAUGGACCCGCGGUACAUCAGCCAGUGGGUGGGGUAACUGCUCACCAAGGCCACGAUGCAUAGCCGCCCUGAGAGUGUGAUCGGCCACACUGGGACUGAGACACUGCCCAGACUCCUACGGGAGGCAGCAGUAGGGAAUCUUCGGCAAUGGACGAAAGUCUGACCGAGCAACGCCGCGUGGGUGAAGAAGGUUUUCGGAUCGUAAAACUCUGUUGUUGGAGAAGCGGUAUCUAACCAGAAAGCCACGGCUAACUACGUGCCAGCAGCCGCGGUAAUUC